This 494-nucleotide ribosomal RNA is filed under the name uncultured bacterium. Its description in RNAcentral is "partial 16S ribosomal RNA". It matches the Rfam family "Bacterial small subunit ribosomal RNA", at positions 28 to 507 of the family's 1533-position model. The record is from RNAcentral.
GACGAACGCUGGCGGCGUGCUUAACACAUGCAAGUCGAACGGUGAAGCGCCUUCCUUUUUGGUGGGUGUGGAUGAGUGGCGAACGGGUGAGUAACACGUGAGUAACCUGCCCCCUUCUUCUGGAUAACCGCAUGAAAGUGUGGCUAAUACGGGAUAUUCUGGGUCUGUCGCAUGAUGGGUCUGGGAAAGAUAUUGUUUCGGUGGGGGAUGGGCUCGCGGCCUAUCAGCUGGUUGGUGGGGUGAUGGCCUACCAAGGCGGUGACGGGUAGCCGGCCUGAGAGGGUGGCCGGUCACAGUGGGACUGAGACACGGCUCAGACUCAUACGGGAGGCAGCAGUGGGGAAUAUUGCACAAUGGGCGCAAGCCUGAUGCAGCGACGCCGCGUGAGGGAUGGAGGCCUGCGGGUUGUGAACCUCUUUCGCCAGUGAAGCAGGCCUGCCUCGUUUGUGGGUGGGUUGACGGUAGCUGGAAAAGAAGCGCCGGCUAACUACGUG